CUGAACUUUGAGCUCACGGCUGAGGAGAAGGACGAACUCAGUAAACUGAUUUGGGAUGAUUUCUUAACCAUGACUCGAACAUCAGAGACGGGUUAGUUCCCGAAUGAAGUUCGAGCAUCCGUCACAUAACAGCAGUGACCCGCAUACGAAGGCGGAUCAAGGAGGAAAGAGUUUCUCAGGAUCUGAAGAUGUUGAGACAUUGGGUUCCCGAUGAUUUAAAACUUUAUUAUUGGCAUUUCUUUUGUUAAAACAUUAUAAUCUU
Long non-coding RNA from Helianthus annuus (common sunflower), 262 nucleotides. RefSeq lists it as uncharacterized. The record is from RefSeq and is a predicted model, not a curated record. Lineage: Eukaryota; Viridiplantae; Streptophyta; Magnoliopsida; Asterales; Asteraceae. The transcript has 2 exons.